RNAcentral lists this transfer RNA (72 nucleotides) under Camelus bactrianus (Bactrian camel). It matches the Rfam family "tRNA". From Rfam's summary of the family: Transfer RNA (tRNA) molecules are approximately 80 nucleotides in length. Their secondary structure includes four short double-helical elements and three loops (D, anti-codon, and T loops). RNAcentral also lists the same sequence under 2 other names. Lineage: Eukaryota; Metazoa; Chordata; Mammalia; Artiodactyla; Camelidae. The record is from Rfam by way of RNAcentral.
GGGCAUAUAGCUCAGUGGCAGAGCACAUGCUUAGCAUACAUGAGGUUCCAAGUUCAAUCCCCAGUACCUCCA